This 253-nucleotide ribosomal RNA is filed under the name uncultured bacterium. RNAcentral's name for it is "partial 16S ribosomal RNA". It matches the Rfam family "Bacterial small subunit ribosomal RNA", at positions 524 to 776 of the family's 1533-position model. The record is from RNAcentral.
UACGUAGGGGGCAAGCGUUGUCCGGAUUUAUUGGGCGUAAAGAGCGUGUAGGCGGCCAGACAGGUCCGUUGUGAAAACUCGAGGCUCAACCUCGAGACGCCGAUGGAAACCGUCUGGCUAGAGUCCGGAAGAGGAGAGUGGAAUUCCCGGUGUAGCGGUGAAAUGCGCAGAUAUCGGGAGGAACACCAAUGGCGAAGGCAGCUCGCUGGGACGGUACUGACGCUGAGACGCGAAAGCGUGGGGAGCGAACAGG